RNAcentral lists this long non-coding RNA (2404 nucleotides) under Olea europaea subsp. europaea. The record is from RNAcentral. Lineage: Eukaryota; Viridiplantae; Streptophyta; Magnoliopsida; Lamiales; Oleaceae.
UAAUUUCAAUGGUAAUAUUACUGAGACAGAGUCAUCCUAGGUAUAGGAGUUUUAGGGUGAGAUGUUUGGGUGAAAUUAGAGUCCUCGAAGAGUAUAAUCCCUUUUAGUUUAAAUAAUAAGGUCAUUGAAAUUCAGCAAAUAAAGUGCUCAAGGACCCAAAUACCUUGGGUGGUAAAAAGGUAUCCCGAGGACUUAUCCUGAAGAUGUCGCCACCUAAAUUUCGUAGAUGUAUGUCAUUAGUCCUCUGGUAUUAACCUAAGGACACCAUCAUACCCAAGAACUCUCUGACUAAUUUAUGUUUAGCCAGCAUAUAUGAGUUCUCAAGGUAGAACUCCUCGAGAGGCAUGCCAAUAAUGAACAUAACACUAGUCCCCUGUGUAUCCGUUCCUAAAUGCUCGAGAUUUUAGGAAAAGGUGCACAAUAUGUUGAGAAUAUUUUUUGAAUUAUAAGAGUGGUCGAGCAUUUAAUGAUGAUCGAUACACGUGCUAAUGAGAUUGCUUAAUUUAGAUGCUGAGUACUGGGGUAAAUAUAAGGUGAUAUGAAGAGGUCCCUCGGAUGUGUGACAUGGCAUGAUCCAACGGUCUAGAUGGUGACCUUUGGCCUUCCACUUCUAUGCCUAUAAAUACUCGUUUUAACUUUCAUUUUUCACUUUUCACUCACCGUAAUUCUUUCUCUACAAGGUCGAGCUAUACAAAUUCUUAAAAAAAAAUUCUUUCGGGAGUCGGGUAAUUUUAAGGUAAGGUUCGAGACCUUAAGUUAUUUCCUUAGUUUAGCGAUGUUGAGUAGUGAGAGUGACCGGGACUCUGAUAGCUUGAAUAGUAGUGAGAACUUAGGUAUCUCGAUCAUUCCAAUGCCAGUGCCUCUUGAUGCUCGACCUAGGUAUCAGAUCAAUGUCGAGUUCAAGUCUCCUAAUGAGGCUUGUAGAUUUAAGAAACACCUAGCGAUAGAGGCUGCUAGAGAGAUCAAGCUAAUGCCCAAUUGUUAUAUUAGGUCCCUCGGUCCCAAAGAUAGGAUGGUGCAAGCUCGAAAAUGAGAUUUUGUAAAUUUUCUGGACACUCUUAAGGCCGGGUUUAGGUGACCCUUGUACCCAUUCUUUAUAGGUCUGUUGAUUGUGCAUUCCAUGUGCCCGAGGUAGUUAGUACCCAAUGCCUAGAGGUUGCUCAAUUAUUUUUUCAUAGCUUAUAGGUACUUGGACAUCACACCAUACAUCGACCUAUGUCGCAUGGUGUUCAAGCUCAAACAACUUCCACAAUUUACCCCACUUUGCUUAUCUUUUGACUCGAGGUGGGUUUAAGAUCCCGACCUUACCUAACUUGUUAAAGGGAUGGACAGAAAAAUGGUUCUAUGUAGUAGCCCGAGACCCCGACUUUUUCUUCUGGCCCAGGUGGGGUAUUUCGGACACUACUAAUUUCUAUGAGGGUCGAGCUUAUUUUGGGUCAUUUAAGCGAGAUAGAAAGAUGCUCGAAGAUCUUGAACCCUUGGUACCGAACAUGAAUGCCAUUCUUCGGGGACGAAGUAGUAAACCUCGUGGAUGUGAUAGGCGCCGAAGGUAGAAUUCUCUUAAAGACUUUUUUUUUUAUUCUUCUUUCCCCAACAUUACGAUUGAUCUAAUGACUUGUUUGAAUUUUUUACCUUUUGGUUCCUUUGCCCUCCACAAGUAUGUAAACAAUAAAGCUAAGGCUCCUACUCAACAAAUAGAAAGAAAAGGUCAAGGGUCUAGAAGGCUAACCAAUCGAUGAGGAGACUUGAGAGGGCUCACAGUCCCGGCUACCUAUUUCGAGCCUUUCACCACUUUGCCAGCGAUUGUUGUCGCCUCGAGUCUUGUCUCCUCAAUGUAUUCCUGAGGUUGUCGACCUCGAGGAUGACUCUAUUCCAAUGGUAGGUUCGAUUAUCAAGAAUUUCUAGUGUUUCCACCUUGUCCCGAGCAUAGUGGCUAAGUACAGAAGUGACGUAGGGUUCGAUGAAGGAAUAAAGGUUCUAGAGUUUCUUACUUUAAAGGUAAACCUAGAACUCAUUUUGAACGUAUAUUUAAGUAAUUUUUAGAUGUUAAUGCUCGUUGUUUAUCUAUUUCAGGCCCUCGGUGUUGUUCGAGGUCUGUCUGCAUAGGGGAUGGAUGAGUCCCAUAAAAAUCUGUCGAGCUCAGGGACAAGAGGAUUAUUGACCUCCAAGCCGAGCACGAGCCUCUUUUAAAGGCCAAGCUUGAGCUUGAGCAGAAAUGCAAAGAGUACAAGGCUAAGCUUGGUGAGGUCCAGACAGGGCCUGGGAGGAGUUCAAGACAUCCAAAGAGUGCAAUAAACUUAAGGCAAAGUAUGCAUCAAGCGCUUAUCUCCAUGUGUUCAAGGAGGCCAAACCAUUUCUACACUCCAAAUUGCUAAAUGUUCAUCAUGACACGUCAAAAUUGUCC